This 497-nucleotide ribosomal RNA is filed under the name uncultured bacterium. RNAcentral's name for it is "partial 16S ribosomal RNA". It matches the Rfam family "Bacterial small subunit ribosomal RNA", at positions 28 to 507 of the family's 1533-position model. The record is from RNAcentral.
GAUGAACGCUGGCGGCGUGCCUAAUACAUGCAAGUCGAGCGAACAGACGAGGAGCUUGCUCCUCUGACGUUAGCGGCGGACGGGUGAGUAACACGUGGAUAACCUACCUAUAAGACUGGGAUAACUUCGGAAAACCGGAGCUAAUACCGGAUAACAUAUUGAACCGCACGGUGCAAUAGUGAAAGACGGUUUUGCUGUCACUUAUAGAUGGAUCCGCGCCGCAUUAGCUAGUUGGUAAGGUAACGGCUUACCAAGGCAACGAUGCGUAGCCGACGGGAGAGACUGAUCGGCGACACUAGAACGGAGACACGGUCAAUAGUCCUGCGGGAGGCAGCAGUAGCGAAUCUGCCGCAAUGGGCGAAAGCCUUACGGAGCAACGCCGCGUGAGUGAUGAAGGCCUUCGGAUCGUAAAACUCUGUUAUGAGGGAAGAACCACUGUGUACGUAACUAUGCACGUCUUGACGGUACCUAAUCAGAAAGCCCCGGCUAACUACGUG